AGAGUUUGAUCAUGGCUCAGAUUGAACGCUGGCGGAAUGCUUUACACAUGCAAGUCGAACGGCAGCACGGGGGCAACCCUGGUGGCGAGUGGCGAACGGGUGAGUAAUACAUCGGAACGUGCCCAGUCGUGGGGGAUAACGUAGCGAAAGCUACGCUAAUACCGCAUAUGAACUCAGGUUGAAAGCGGGGGAUCGCAAGACCUCGCGCGAUUGGAGCGGCCGAUGGCAGAUUAGGUAGUUGGUGGGGUAAAGGCCUACCAAGCCGACGAUCUGUAGCUGGUCUGAGAGGACGACCAGCCACACUGGGACUGAGACACGGCCCAGACUCCUACGGGAGGCAGCAGUGGGGAAUUUUGGACAAUGGGCGCAAGCCUGAUCCAGCCAUUCCGCGUGCAGGAUGAAGGCCCUCGGGUUGUAAACUGCUUUUGUACGGAACGAAAAGGCUCUGGUUAAUACCCGGGGCUGAUGACGGUACCGUAAGAAUAAGCACC
RNAcentral lists this ribosomal RNA (491 nucleotides) under uncultured Ramlibacter sp. RNAcentral's name for it is "bacterial SSU rRNA". It matches the Rfam family "Bacterial small subunit ribosomal RNA", at positions 8 to 494 of the family's 1533-position model. Lineage: Bacteria; Pseudomonadati; Pseudomonadota; Betaproteobacteria; Burkholderiales; Comamonadaceae. The record is from RNAcentral.